UACGGAGGGGGCUAGCGUUGUUCGGAAUUACUGGGCGUAAAGCGCACGUAGGCGGCUUUGUAAGUUAGAGGUGAAAGCCCAGGGCUUAACCCUGGAAUUGCCUUUAAGACUGCAUCGCUAGAAUUGUGGAGAGGUAAGUGGAAUUCCGAGUGUAGAGGUGAAAUUCGUAGAUAUUCGGAAGAACACCAGUGGCGAAGGCGGCUCACUGGACUGGUAUUGACGCUGAGGUGCGAAAGCGUGGGGAGCAAACAGG
This 253-nucleotide ribosomal RNA is filed under the name uncultured bacterium. RNAcentral describes it as "partial 16S ribosomal RNA". It matches the Rfam family "Bacterial small subunit ribosomal RNA", at positions 524 to 776 of the family's 1533-position model. The record is from RNAcentral.